GAUGAAGAACGUAGCGAAAUGCGAUACUUGGUGUGAAUUGCAGAAUCCCGUGAACCAUCGAGUCUUUGAACGCAAGUUGCGCCCGAAGCCACUAGGCCGAGGGCACGCCUGCCUGGGCGUCACACGUCGUUGCCCCCCCAUCUACUCCUUCGGGAUUGCGGGGGGGCGGAUGAUGGCCUCCCGUGCGCCUAGCCGCGCGGUUGGCAUAAAUACCAAGUCCUCAGCGACGCACGCCACGACAAUCGGUGGUUGCGAAACCUCGGUUGCCCGUCGUGUGCGUUCGUCGCGCAUCGAGGGCUCGAAAAAAUGCUCGGCUCCGGCUGGGCUUUCAACGCGACCCCAGGUCAGGCGGGGUUACCCGCUGAAUUUAAGCAUAUCAAUAAGCGGAGGA
Molecule: unclassified non-coding RNA, 391 nt
Filed under: soil metagenome
Description: partial contains 5.8S ribosomal RNA, internal transcribed spacer 2, and large subunit ribosomal RNA
Rfam family: 5.8S ribosomal RNA (bases 1-122)
Source: RNAcentral